This 253-nucleotide ribosomal RNA is filed under the name uncultured bacterium. Its description in RNAcentral is "partial 16S ribosomal RNA". It matches the Rfam family "Bacterial small subunit ribosomal RNA", at positions 524 to 776 of the family's 1533-position model. The record is from RNAcentral.
UACGUAGGUGGCAAGCGUUGUCCGGAUUUACUGGGCGUAAAGGGUGCGUAGGCGGAUUUUUAAGUGGGAUGUGAAAUUCCGAGGCUCAACCUCGGCGCUGCAUUCCAAACUGGAAGUCUAGAGUGCGGGAGAGGAAAGUGGAAUUCCUAGUGUAGCGGUGAAAUGCGUAGAGAUUAGGAAGAACACCAGUGGCGAAGGCGACUUUCUGGACCGUAACUGACGCUGAUGCAUGAAAGCGUGGGGAGCAAACAGG